This 700-nucleotide ribosomal RNA is filed under the name Vreelandella boliviensis. Its description in RNAcentral is "bacterial SSU rRNA". It matches the Rfam family "Bacterial small subunit ribosomal RNA", at positions 72 to 771 of the family's 1533-position model. The record is from RNAcentral. Lineage: Bacteria; Pseudomonadati; Pseudomonadota; Gammaproteobacteria; Oceanospirillales; Halomonadaceae.
GAUCUAGCUUGCUAGAUGCUGACGAGCGGCGGACGGGUGAGUAAUGCAUAGGAAUCUGCCCGGUAGUGGGGGAUAACCUGGGGAAACCCAGGCUAAUACCGCAUACGUCCUACGGGAGAAAGGGGGCUCCGGCUCCCGCUAUUGGAUGAGCCUAUGUCGGAUUAGCUGGUUGGUGAGGUAAUGGCUCACCAAGGCGACGAUCCGUAGCUGGUCUGAGAGGAUGAUCAGCCACAUCGGGACUGAGACACGGCCCGAACUCCUACGGGAGGCAGCAGUGGGGAAUAUUGGACAAUGGGGGGAACCCUGAUCCAGCCAUGCCGCGUGUGUGAAGAAGGCCCUCGGGUUGUAAAGCACUUUCAGCGAGGAAGAACGCCUGGUGGUUAAUACCCAUCAGGAAAGACAUCACUCGCAGAAGAAGCACCGGCUAACUCCGUGCCAGCAGCCGCGGUAAUACGGAGGGUGCAAGCGUUAAUCGGAAUUACUGGGCGUAAAGCGCGCGUAGGUGGCUUGAUAAGCCGGUUGUGAAAGCCCCGGGCUCAACCUGGGAACGGCAUCCGGAACUGUCAAGCUAGAGUACAGGAGAGGAAGGUAGAAUUCCCCGGUGUAGCGGUGAAAUGCGUAGAGAUCGGGAGGAAUACCAGUGGCGAAGGCGGCCUUCUGGACUGAUACUGACACUGAGGUGCGAAAGCGUGGGUAGCAA